AACAUUAGAUGAAAAUUACUUGAUUGGUUCCAUUCCACACGCCCUCUUCAACAUUUCUACUCUUCAAGUUCUUUCAUUUUCUGGGAAUGCCCUCUCUGGAGUUCUUCCUCCCAAUUUGUGCCAAGAUGAAGCCAUUCCAAUCAUUGAAGAGCUUUUUGUUGGCGAAAAUUUCAUUUCUGGACCAAUACCCAACUCUAUCUCCAAUUGUUCUCAACUCAGACUUCUCUCUCUUAAUGAAAACAAAUUCAGUGGUUAUAUACCUACUGAUCUCGGCAACCUAAGAUUUCUCCAACGCCUUGAACUGUUCAGCAACAAUCUUUCUUCAAACCUCGAUUUCAUUGUCAAAUUGCAGGUCUUUAAAUCGUUUGGCUUUAGGUAAUAAUCCUCUGUACGGCGUCGUUCCACCUUCUAUUGGGAAUUUAUCUUCCUCACUCCAACAAUUCUAUGCCGGUGGUUGCAAAUUGAACGGCACCAUUCCUGCUCAAAUAGCCAAUUUAACAAGCUUGGCGAUCUUGAGUUUCCCUGACAAUGAGUUACCUGGUAAUGUUCCCCUCUCAAUCAAACAUUUGCGUGGCCUUCAAGGAUUAGAUCUUAGUGCUAACAUGUUGCAAGGCCCCUUUCCGUAUGUUGUAUGUGAUUUAUACAACCUCGUUCAUAUAAAUAUUAGCCGAAAUCAAUUCUCAGGUUCAAUUCCUAAACGCCAACAGGUUCAAACAUUUUUAAGAGUUGUUUUUCUAAACGCCAACAUGUUCGAUUCAAGUAUACCAUCCAACUUAUGGGGCCUUGAAGAUUUGCUCAAUCUUGAUUUGUCCUCAAAUUCAUUAACUGGCUUUUUACCUCAAGAGACAAGUAACUUAGGAGCAUCAAUAUCUAUUGAUCUCUCCAUGAAUCAGUUGUCGGGGUCUAUUCCCGACACUAUUGGAAAGUUGCAGAAUUUGGCAAAAGGUUCUAUUCCAGUUUCCAUGGGAAGCAUGAUCAGUUUGGUGACUCUUGACUUGUCCCGUAAUAACCUCUCUGGUUCAAUUCCAAAGUCUUUGGAAGAGCUUCAAUACCUCAACUAUUUCAAUGUCUCUUUCAAUAGUUUGAGUGGAGAAAUUCCUAGUGGUGGCUCUUUCAGAAACUUUACUAUGGAUUCUUUAAGGGCAAUGAGGCAUUGUGUGGAAUCCCGAGAUUCCAUGUCCCAAUUUGCCCUGCAGUUUCUAAUCAUGUAUCAAAGAGGAAGGAGGUGGAGCGCGCUUUAUUUGUUGCUUUCGGAGUUGUGGCUUUCGUUUCAAUUGUGUCUUUGGCUUUUAUCUUAAUUAGAUGCAAAAGGAAAGAUAAGAGAACUAGAGAAGUUGAUGAGUUCAUAUCCAUUGUGCCAGAAAGAAUAUCUUAUUAUGAGCUUAUGCAAGCAACUGAACAACUCAGUGAGAGCAAUUUGCUUGGAAUUGGGAGUUCUUGCUCUGUUUACAAAGGCAUUCUUAACAAUGGGAAUGUUGUCGCCGUUAAGGUGUUCAAUCUUCAAUUACAAGGCAUUUUGAGGAGAUUUGAUGUCGAAUGUGAGAUACUUCGUAGCAUUCGACAUAGGUGUCUGACAAGCAUCUUAAGUUGUUGUUCCAAUGAAGAGUUCAGGGCAUUGUAUCUUCACCAUGGCUGUUCAACACCUAUUGUUCAAAGCGACCUGAAGCCAAGUAAUGUGUUGUUAGAUGAAGAUAUGGUUGGCCAUGUAAGCGAUUUUGGGAUAGCAUGGUGUUAACCAACACCCUAGGAACAUUUGCUCCAGAGUAUGGUUCAGAAGGACUAGUCUCCACAAGGUGCGAUGUGUAUAGCUAUGGUGUGAUGUUGAUGGAAGUAUUCACGAGAAAAAGGGCAAGUGAUGACAUGUUUGUUGGAGAUCUAAGCUUGAAGAGUUGGAUCGAAAGGUCAGUUCCAGAAUUCACAUAUCAAGUUAUAGAUGCCAACUUAGUAAUGAAUGUUGAAGAAGAAAAUGGUGACAAAUUUGUGGAAUUGACAACAUCCUUAUUGGAGUUAGCUUUAAAGUGCUCUGCACAUUCCCCUAAUAAAAGGAUUAAUAUGAAAGAAGCUCUUGCAGAACUGCAGAAAAUCCAACGUGGCUUUUUGGAUGAAGCUUAAAUCAAAGAGGGAAACACCUUAUUUGGUAAAGCAAAUGCAGAGAGGGUCCGACAUAUUUAUAAGCUUUGCAUUGUUGUGUAAUUCCAUUGACAGUUUUGUUUUAUGUUUUCUAGUAUGUUUUAUUCAUUGAACUCAUCUUUAUCUACCUCAAAUUUUAUGCUUUCAAACAUUGUCACCAAUGAGAUCUGAAAUUUCUCCCUGUUU
Molecule: RNA transcript, 2316 nt
Organism: Salvia splendens (bonfire salvia)
Lineage: Eukaryota; Viridiplantae; Streptophyta; Magnoliopsida; Lamiales; Lamiaceae
Gene name: probable LRR receptor-like serine/threonine-protein kinase At3g47570
Exons: 3
Source: RefSeq, a predicted model, not a curated record